AUGAAGCCUCAGAACAGAAACAUGGUGGCAUGAAUGAAUCCAGACACGUUCUUCUACAACUUUUAUAAUAGACCCAUCUUUUCUCAUCAGAAUACUGUCUGACUGUGCUACAAAGUGAAAAUGAAAACAAAGGACUCCUCAAGUCCCCUUUUGGUUGCAAAGAUCUUUCAAAGCCACGUCUAUUCCAAGCCUCAAUGCCACCCAGAGAUGAGAUUCCUCCAUUCAUUCUGCAAAUGGUAGCUGCAUAGUGACCAGAAGUACGAGGUCACCUGGUACGUAUUCUGGAGCUGCUGUCUAGUGUGUGCAAGGAAUGUGGCCAAGUUCUGGGCCUAGGACAGCAAGGUCACCCUGACCAUCUUCGUGGCUUGCCUCUACUAAUUCUGGGACCCACCUUACCCAGAGGAGCUUCACAGACUGUGUCAGAAAGAGACAGUUUGUAUGCCACCAUGAAGAUCAUGAAUUAUGGUGAAUUUCAACAGUGUUGGGACAAGUUCGUGUACAACCAAAGAUUGCACAAGCUUUGGAACAAACUGUCUAAACAUUAUACAUUACUGCACAUCACACUGGGGGAGGUUCUCAGACACCUGAUGGAUCCAGGCACAUUCACGUACAACUUUACCAAUGACCCAUCGGUCCUUGGACAGCACAGACCUACCUGUGUUACAAGGUGGAGUGCCAGGACAAUGGCACCUGGGUCUGGCUGGACCAGCACAGGGGCAUCAUACUCAAUGAGGCUUCAAAUAAUUCUGGUUUCCCUGAAGAUUGCCAUGCAGAGCUGUGCUUCCUGGACCUGAUUUCCUUUUGGAAGCUGGACCUGGCCCAGUGCUGCAGGGUCACCUGCUUCAUCUCCUGGAGCCCCUGCUUCAGCUGUGCCCAGGAGGUGGCUAAAUUCCAUCAAGAGAUCCCACCCAUGAGCCUGCACAUCUUCACUGCCCACAUCUAUGAUUAUUAGGGAUAUAAAAAGGGCCUGCACAGGCUGGACAGAGCUGGGGCCCCAAUUUCCAUGAUGAAAUACAAUGAAUUUAGGCACUGCUGGGACACCUAUGUGGAUCACCAGGGAUGCCCCUUCCAGCCCUGGGAUGGACUAGAUGAGCACAGCCAAGCUCUGAGUGGGAGGCUGCAGGCCAUUCUCCAGAAUCAGAGAAACUGAAGGAUAAGCUUCAGUCUCUAAGGAAGGCAGAGACCUGGGUUGAGCAGCCAAAUAAAAGAUCUUCUUCCAAGAAAUGCAAACAGGCUGUUCACCACCAUCUCCAGCUGAUCACAGACGCCAGCAAAGCAAUGCGUUCCUGACCAAGUAGAUUCUUUUAAAAAUUAGAGUGAAUUACCUUCAAUCAAAAAUUAAUGUGAUACAGUAGUAAGACUGUGCUCAAUACACUUAGAAAAGUUUCAAAUCUACUAAUCCACUGAUGAAAUGAAUUGGUUUUAUAUGUAGAGGAAUACAAUGAAAUACUAAAUAUUU
Molecule: non-coding RNA, 1459 nt
Organism: Callithrix jacchus (white-tufted-ear marmoset)
Lineage: Eukaryota; Metazoa; Chordata; Mammalia; Primates; Cebidae
Source: RefSeq, a predicted model, not a curated record